GAACUGCCCUUCUCUACGAUACCUCGGAACUGAGAGUAUACCGUAUACGCCCUUCGGGGGAAAGAUUUAUCGGAGAAGGAUCGGCCCGCGUCUGAUUAGAUAGUUGGUGGGGUAAUGGCCUACCAAGUCUACGAUCAGUAGCUGGUUUUAGAGGAUGAUCAGCAACACUGGGACUGAGACACGGCCCAGACUCCUACGGGAGGCAGCAGUGGGGAAUCUUAGACAAUGGGCGCAAGCCUGAUCUAGCCAUGCCGCGUGAGUGAUGAAGGCCUUAGGGUCGUAAAGCUCUUUCGCCAGAGAUGAUAAUGACGUAUCUGGUAAAGAAACCCCGGCUAACUCCGUGCCACACCGCGGAAUACGGAGGGGGUUAGCGUUGUUCGGAAUUACUGGGCGUAAGCGCACGUAGGCGGAUCAGAAAGUUGGGGGUGAAAUCCCAGGGCUCAACCCUGGAACGGCCUCCAAAACUCCUGGUCUUGAGUUCGAGAGAGGUGAGUGGAAUUCCGAGUGUAGAGGUGAAAUUCGUAGAU
RNAcentral lists this ribosomal RNA (527 nucleotides) under Rhodobacteraceae bacterium I4. RNAcentral's name for it is "bacterial SSU rRNA". It matches the Rfam family "Bacterial small subunit ribosomal RNA", at positions 123 to 695 of the family's 1533-position model. The record is from RNAcentral. Lineage: Bacteria; Pseudomonadati; Pseudomonadota; Alphaproteobacteria; Rhodobacterales; Paracoccaceae.